AUCCAGACGACGAGUCCCAAAUAGGACGAAACGCGUCCCUGGAU
This 44-nucleotide non-coding RNA is filed under the name Schistosoma margrebowiei. Lineage: Eukaryota; Metazoa; Platyhelminthes; Trematoda; Strigeidida; Schistosomatidae. The record is from RNAcentral.